AAUGAACGUUGGCGGCGUGGAUUAGGCAUGCAAGUCGAGCGGGAAGUAGCAAUACUUUCUGCGGCGAAAGGGUGAGUAACGCGUGGUUACGUACCCCCGGAUCUGGGAUAGCGGCGGGAAACUGCCAUUAAUACCAGAUAACGUCUACGGACCAAAGGUGUGAUUCCGUCCGGGGAUCGGACCGCGUGCUAUUUGCUAGCUGGUGAGGUAAUGGCUCACCAAGGCAAAGAUGGCUAGUGGGUGUGAGAGCACGACCCACCACACUGGGACUGAGAUACUGCCCAGACACCUACGGGUGGCUGCAGUCGAGAAUCUUCGGCAAUGGACGAAAGUCUGACCGAGCGACGCCGCGUGCGGGAUGAAGGCCCUCGGGUUGUAAACCGCUGUCGAGAAGGAACAAAUCCCUAGGGGUUCUCCCCUAGGGUUGAGUGAUCUCUGGAGGAAGGACGGGCUAAGUUCGUGCCAGCCGCCGCGGUAA
Molecule: ribosomal RNA, 478 nt
Filed under: uncultured bacterium
Lineage: Bacteria
Description: partial 16S ribosomal RNA
Rfam family: Bacterial small subunit ribosomal RNA
Source: RNAcentral